This 496-nucleotide ribosomal RNA is filed under the name uncultured bacterium. RNAcentral describes it as "partial 16S ribosomal RNA". It matches the Rfam family "Bacterial small subunit ribosomal RNA", at positions 29 to 507 of the family's 1533-position model. The record is from RNAcentral.
AUGAACGCUGGCGGCGUGCCUAAUACAUGCAAGUCGAGCGAACAGACGAGGAGCUUGCUCCUCUGACGUUAGCGGCGGACGGGUGAGUAACACGUGGAUAACCUACCAAUAAGACUGGGAUAACUUCGGGAAACCGGAGCUAAUACCGGAUAAUAUAUUGAACCGCAUGGUUCAAUAGUGAAAGACGGUUUUGCUGUCACUUAUAGAUGGAUCCGCGCCGCAUUAGCUAGUUGGUAAGGUAACGGCUUACCAAGGCAACGAUGCGUAGCCGACCUGAGAGGGUGAUCGGCCACACUGGAACUGAGACACGGUCCAGACUCCUACGGGAGGCAGCAGUAGGGAAUCUUCCGCAAUGGGCGAAAGCCUGACGGAGCAACGCCGCGUGAGUGAUGAAGGUCUUCGGAUCGUAAAACUCUGUUAUUAGGGAAGAACAAAUGUGUAAGUAACUAUGCACGUCUUGACGGUACCUAAUCAGAAAGCCACGGCUAACUACGUG